Molecule: ribosomal RNA, 147 nt
Filed under: Salmonella enterica subsp. enterica serovar Duesseldorf
Lineage: Bacteria; Pseudomonadati; Pseudomonadota; Gammaproteobacteria; Enterobacterales; Enterobacteriaceae
Description: partial 23S ribosomal RNA
Rfam family: Bacterial large subunit ribosomal RNA
Source: RNAcentral
GUUGUAUAGUCAAGUAAUGAAGUGCACAUGGUGGAUGCCUUGGCAGUCAGAGGCGAUGAAAGACGUGACAGCCUGCGAAAAGCGUCGGGGAGGCGGCAAUAUCCUGUGAUCCGGCGAUAUCUGAAUGGGGAAACCCACCUACCAUAA